This is a long non-coding RNA of Octopus bimaculoides (California two-spot octopus), 892 nucleotides long. RefSeq lists it as uncharacterized. The record is from RefSeq and is a predicted model, not a curated record. Lineage: Eukaryota; Metazoa; Mollusca; Cephalopoda; Octopoda; Octopodidae.
CAUACGACAAACACACGCAAAUACACACACGCAAACACACAUAUUCCUUCUAAUACAUUUUUAUCCACCGUCUCUGAGAGGUUGUGGCGUUCAAUGCUAUUUCUGCUAACAUAGGCGAAAUGUUGCGUAAGUUUGUAAUCGAAAACGGAUCUGUUUUCUUAACUUACGUGAGUUGAUACACUUGUUGUUUAACACCAGGCCAGGACUCAUUACGGACAACUGUUACGAGGGGUGCUGAAGGGUUCUUAGCUUUGAAGAUAUCGCUCGUGGAAGGCCUGAUAGGAGGCGCAACCUUUCGGGUUCCUUUACAGGGCUUAGAAAAGGAUAUAUUUUAUCAACUGUAGAAGAAUGAAAGUCAAGUUGACAUCAUUGGUACUUGAGCUGAAAAAAGAAGACGAAAAGAAAAAGGAAGACUAAACUAGAUGCUACAAAACUUUUAGGCCAAUAUUCUUAGAAUAUUCUUUUCUACUCGAGGCAUUCAAAAAACUGAACAUUACAGCAUCUCAUUCUUUGAUCCGAAACUCCAGGAAUUUCUACUUAUAAAAAAUGUUUACAGGGGCUAGAUAGGCAUCUCCAACUAGCAAGCCAUGCUACUCCAGACUGAAGACGUGCAAUGACUCAGAAACUAGUCUCUGGAUGCUGGCUUAGCUGCAUGGAGGUGCUUAUCUCCCCUUUGUAAACAUAAAGACUCAGGAAAUGUGUCAAGGCCGACGGGAAGCGGUGCUGCUUCCUAGGGCAAAAUACCAGUAGUAUUAGUCCCUCUCAUGGGACUGUCACAUUAGGUUGACAGCAUACAACUAUUUUAUCAUAUCACUACUGUAUAAACUUCUCCGAGAGAUUUAGAAACGUAUUAUUUCUAUUUUAAAAAAUAAAACUAUUCUAUAAAAAUUGA